RNAcentral lists this non-coding RNA (25 nucleotides) under Mus musculus (house mouse). The record is from RNAcentral. Lineage: Eukaryota; Metazoa; Chordata; Mammalia; Rodentia; Muridae.
UAGGUCAAGAAACACGAUGAGGGGA